UCUAGUGAGAAAUAUACCAUUUUCUUUUAAAAUAUGCUUUCAUUUAGGACAUACAGUUUGUAGUUUGCUUGUUUCGUUCAACUUUUUCUCCCAAAAGCUCUGUGUUACGUUGGAGAAACACGUUAACUUUCAUUCAUAUCUGCAGACGUGCGCGUGGGUCACGUGACUAAUAUGUUUCUCUUUUUUUCCGCAGAAAAUUGUAAAAUAUGAGUGAAUAUGGACUGAUUUUUUUUUGAAAACAUUUCUAGCAGUAUAUAUCCCCUUUAUUUUCGUAAUAUUGCAGACAUGAAGUUGUUAGUUUGUUACGUUCAACUUUUCCUCAAAGGAUCUGAAAGCGUCUGAUCUUUUCCAUUCAUAUAUGCGGGCUGACGUGGGUCACGUGACGUGCCUUUCUCUUUUUUUUCCUGUGGAAAAUCUCGUAAAAAGCCAGUGAACGCAGCGUCAUACGGGCACCCCCACCCCAAUCCACCGGAAACCCCCGGAUGAACCCGCAGGAAGGCGCGCGGCUGAAGAACUUCUUGGACAGCUGGAAGGUGGGCGAUGAUUUGAACUUUUCUCUGUAGAAAUGUAAUGUUUAGAUUUGGGAAACCAGAGAUGGGUUUUAGUAAAAACGUGUUGGCUGUUUAGGAUUAACGUUGAAUGACGAGGCGUUUUUCCAUCUUAAACUUAAAAGGCCGCAGCAUCACGGUGAAGGCCUCUUCUGUAGAGGACGGGGGCGGAAACGUCACGUGGUCUCCGCAGAGACUGGUCAGUUAUUUGGAGACAACAUGUACAAAUAGUUCCUGGACUGAUCUUCUGCUAACUUUGAGGUGGAGAGGCUGUCAGGUUCAUCUGUUUCAGGGUCCUGCAUGCUCUCCCUCCAUGUUGGCUGUAGCAGUGGAUGGAACUUGCAAAAUGUACUGUUUUGAGAGCCAACUGGGGCUCAGUGGUUAUUUUGAAGAUGCGUUUCUGACCAAAAACACUGUGGAGACCUCCUUUGUGAACUGCAUUCAUGCGGAAAUAGAACAUAAUCCUGGAGAUGGGAGAUGUGGAGCAGGAAAGUUUGUGGCAGCACCAGAGUCCUCCAAAAAGUCUUCUGGCAAAGUAAAUGAGGAAGGAUCGCAGUCUGCCAUCGUGGAGUUUUGCUGAAAGGCCUGAACACGUUCCAUCCAUGCAUCCAUCUUCUUCCAUUCAUCAGGAACCAGGUUGUGAGGGCAGCAGUCUAAGCAAAGAUGCCCACACUUCCCUCUCCUCCAGCUCCUCUUGGGGGAUCCCGGGGCCAGCUGAGAGACGUAGUCUCCCCAGCGUGUCCUGGGUCUCCCUUAGGGCCUCUGCCCAGUGAGACAUGCAUGGAACAACCCCCCCCACCCCACCCCCCCCAGGGAGGCGUCCUCCUCUGGAUGUAGAGAGGAAGUGGCUCCACUCAGAGCUCUCUCCAGGUGAGCGAGCUUCCUGAACCUGUUCCGUUGAGAUAUUUUCAUGAACCCCUUCUAUUUGCAGAAACGGCUUUCUCCACAGACCGUGCAGUUCUUCUGCUCUGAUGUAGUCUACGAGUUCUGAUCGCAUUUGGAGAAGGUUGGCGUUCCUUGUCCUGAGAGGCAAGACCUGUUGAACAUGUGUCCUUUUCAAGUUUACUCUUGGAUGUGUGAGUUUGCAAAUAUACAUUUUGGUUGAAAUGAUGAGGAUCCGAGGAUGAAAUCAAGAAGGGACAACAUCAGGGAAAGGGACUGAACCGACUGAACAGCUUCCUCUCUUCAGCAGACACAUGUUCCGAGUACAUAUGUGUCAAAUAUUGACAUCCUCGCCGUUCAGGCCAGUGGCUGGAACAAGCGGAAGUCAGAAAAGCUGGAGCAGACGUAACCAGAAUGAUACCUCCAGGACCAAUCCAAAUGACCCAGAGAAAAACACUGAAGGGCUUUGUCUGAGCAUCAGGAAAACAAGAAUCAGCAUAUGGUUAUGGUGCCAUGGUGAAGAACUAAAGGCUCUAUGAUGUCAUGCUGCUGACCAGACUGUGGUUGGUGAAGUCCAGCAGCACUGCGGGUCCUUGAAGUGUGGUUGAAGAGCUCUCCUCCCAGCUUUUGGAAGGUUCUGCCCCGCAAAGCCAGGAGGUUUCUCUUUGUGAUCUGCAUGGAUGUCCAGGGCUUGUGGCAUUUAUGUGUUUUCCUCUUCAUUUCAU
Non-coding RNA from Oryzias latipes (Japanese medaka), 2155 nucleotides. The record is from RefSeq and is a predicted model, not a curated record. Lineage: Eukaryota; Metazoa; Chordata; Actinopteri; Beloniformes; Adrianichthyidae.